Long non-coding RNA from Panicum virgatum (switchgrass), 769 nucleotides. RefSeq lists it as uncharacterized. NCBI's taxonomy places the organism in Eukaryota, Viridiplantae, Streptophyta, Magnoliopsida, Poales, Poaceae. The transcript has 3 exons. The record is from RefSeq and is a predicted model, not a curated record.
GUUGCGGACGACGUCUCCACGCCGCCCUCCUCACCGCGACUCUCCAUGGUGCUUCCGUGGAACCUGAGCGCAUCUCGCCCAUAUGGCUCUCUCUGCUCUUAGGGAGCACAAACUAAGGAGUCGAGAGCUUCUAGCGUCGGGCCUAGGCUUCACUGCACAACCUGAUUGUGUAAAUUCAUUUGGCUUUCUCUUCUCAUGGAUAUUGACGAACCAAGAACUCCACGUAUACUGGCACCGCCGCUACCGAAUACUGGCAGCGGAGGCAGCGCAAUAGCCGCGGGAUCGGGUGGUGCUCAAGCCACCUUCCUCCGGCGCAGGACCAAUAGGUGUUUUUCUCUUCGUCGCCUGAUCGUCCCCAAUUAUCAUCCGUGCUCUUGAGCUACUUGAAGUUUCCAUGGGAUGAUCUGGUUCAUGUGAUAGUGGUUUCAAUACUGCCAUCAAGAUUGGUGGUGAUCCGAGCGUUUUGAGGUAAGCACCUGCCGUCCUGCGUAUUGUGUAUUGCUCCGUGCAUGUAGUUCUGAAAAAAAAGAGUAUGCAUUCCAGCCUUCAGAAAGACAGUGUUCAAGUGUACUUCAGAUAUUAUGUAAUUUUCUAGAGGAAUGAUACGUCACUAAUUAUUUCUGAUUGCUAUGAGUAGUGGAUAAAGCAAUCUUUUUGGUUUAGAUGCAGUUCUGGUAAUUAUUGCUAAGAUGACAUGAAUGGAUGUGGUGCAUGGUUGAAUAACUAUGCACCUUGAAUAUAUGACUGGUGGUGAUACCACUCUUGUUUG